UCUAAUGUAAAUUUCGCAGAAUCAGUUGGAUAAAAAACACACGAUCAACGAAUUAAAUAUCAAACGAUCCAUAAAACCGUAAAAAGACCGGUAUAAAAAUAUUGAUGACAUCUCGCGCAAAUUGUUUCAAGUACAACGCCUUUUUUAUAAAACGAUCCGGUGAAGCCAUUAUACACCUCUGUCAGCUGAACGCAUCCCUGUCACACUUUCCAUUUUGUCACGGUCACCUAUCUAACGCCCUGUUACGAUUCCUCGAUUAACGAUAAUUGUGCCGUUACAGUGUUUCAGUGGCUCAAAGCCACUGUGCACGCGUUCUGCCUCCCCACGCUCCAUCUCUGUUCCACUCUUGACUUUAUCGUUCACCAGAAGCACGCGGCCCAGGCGUUGAUUACUGGGCGGCACAGCGACGUCGGCUAAUAGCCCCACUAACUACCCAGAGCCCUGAUUGUUAGGUUACGAUCACGGUCUUUGAAACUCGCCCCACGCAUAAUAACUACCAGCUAGCGACGGGGAUGAACCGCCGUCGUUCUUCUUCCAUCCCUGAGUAACACGAAAGUGCUUGCAAGCGGUUCGAGAGCCUUCACUGGCCAUCGAGAGUUUGUAUCCAGGCGAACAACCGUUUAAACUCCGCUUGGAUAUCACUGACCUGCCCCCAUAUCGUAGCGACGUCACCUCGACAAACUGUUGGCCCACAUGUACCGCCGGCCAGUUACAGGGUUCGUUCUCGCCCUUUCAUCUACGUUGGUUAUCGACGUUUUACGCGGGUAUUUCCUCCGUUUAUUUCGCGCCCUUGCCACCGUUCCAACGAUGGUCAACGCUUGUUUCGCUACGAAUCGCUUGUUCUUUGCGAGGGAACGACCAUCGCUUUUAUCGUCGAACGUGAAACGACUCUUCCACUCGGCCUUGCCUCUCGCGUGGACGCGAGCGAAUCGACGAGAUUCCGCGAAUUUAUAUCGUACACUUGACGUUUGAUCCACGAACAAAAGACGAGAAGAGAAGAGAAGAGAAUGGAAUUUUAAUAUCAAUAUUUGCAAGGGGCCGUGUUGUUGUUCGAGAUAUGUUGAUGCGUGACCAAAUAAUUGCGGAUGGAAUGGAACUAAAAUAUUUGGGACGUUUAAACGUGAUUGUUGAAACGUUUGUUUAUCGUAUAUUGGCGAACGAAUGAAAAUUCAAAUGCUUUCAAUCGUGUGUUUGAAAAUUCUCCUUUUAACGUGUUCGUUUAAAUUUAAUCGUUUUGUUAUUUCUUUUUUUUUAACAAUGCACCACAUGCACCGUGUUACUUUGUGUUACUUGUUUAACGUUUAUAAUAUAAUAAGCUUGUAAAAUUUCAGAAUUUACUCGUUCGAAGUGUUUAAAGUCGAGUGAAAUAUCAGUUAUAAUAAUAGUUGUGAGCUUGAUACAUUAAUUCUACAUUAUCUCAAAUACUUAAAUUAAUAAUAAUUAUUAAUUUAGAGUAUCACUUACUGGAAAACUUUAGAAAACUUUAGAUAUUAACAAAAAAACUUAUCGUUGUAAGAAGAAAGAACCAUUAAUCUUGUCAUCAAAAAUUUAAUGAAAUCAGGAAAUGAAUAGGAAAAUUUACAAUUUAUCAACUUUAUAAACUUUCUUUUUUUCAUAAUGAAUAAACUACAAUCGCUUUCUGAAAUCCUCGUAUCGCAGAACAACCGUUUCGAAAAUGUUAAGACGUUGAAACGCGUUUUAAGAUAUUCCACAAAUAAAGUUUACACGAAAACAACGUAUCCGAGUGGAGAAAUUCGAGAGAAAGUUGGCGAAGAAACGGAGACGAUCGACAUUUCGGGGAACAAUGAAGGAUAUAGAACGGAAGGGGGAGAGAGAGAAAGAGAGAAAGAGGUAAAUGCCCCGGAAGCUCGUACGUCGCAGAAUCCGACGGGAGUUUCCGCGAAUCCUUUAUUUCUCGGAAGUUUAUGAUUCAAGUUACGUGGGGGGAGGGAAGAAGAAUGACUGGCGAAGUUAUAUGGUCGAAACCACGGGCGUCGGGAAAGGGGACAAGUUCAAGUGGCAAGGUCAAGUUCCUCGCCACCCACGGGGAAGAUUUAUAGUUUCCAUGCGGCGUCACACAAUGACCCAGUUUAAAAAAAAAUAAAAGAGAGAGAGAGAGAGAGAGGAGAAAAAAGAACAUAUCCCUCCACGACUGUGUCGAACAGCGUGGCUCGUGGAUCCAACGAUUUAUUUCUGGUCGCGUGCGUUUCGAAUGCGAUGGAUUGCCUUCAGGAUUUCUCGUUUUACGACCAGCUCGCGAAUUUGCAAACUCUUGUAUGCGUGCACGGAAAUUUGUAUUAUACCGAUUUUUGAUGGAUAAAUUUUUGGAAAUGGUUUUUAAUCGAAACGUAAAUGUUAAGAUCGUUUUAAAAUUUAAGUCGAUAAUAAUAAAUUGGUUGGUCCUUUUUUAAUAUUAAAAUAUUAAUUACGAUUAAAAUAUUUUUAAAGUAUCGUUUGGACGUGUAAAAGGGAUGCGCGUGAUUAAAGUUGAAACGAGAGAUUUUUUUUAAUGAAGACGAGAAAUCGUUUUCAAUGAAAGCGAAAUUGUUAAUGCACGUUAUUUUUCAUUCAUUGAAGCUAGAAAUGAUUUUUCAAAUACUACAACUCGACCACCUGUUACGUAUGAAUAAAAAUCAAUGAAGUAAUUUUAUUUUAUUUUUAAAUGAUAAUUUUGUAACAAUUUAUUCCUACGUAAUAAUACAUUUUAAUUAAAACGAACGGGGAAUAAUAUUGACAAUCAAGUUUAAACUACCGAAAAUAUAAUUUUUAACGUAUUUAAUGAAAAUGAAAUUAAAUCCGUAUCGUAUGAUCUGAUCUUUGUCACGAUUAAAACACAAAAUAUCAAAACGAAAACGAAAUAAUCGAUAUAUAUAUAUAUCUUAAGAAAAUAAUCUUAAACGAUUUAAAUCCUUAUUACAUAUGAUUCAUUUCGUAUUAUCUUCAACUCGUCCUUCGUCAUCGACCAAACAACGCAACAAACGUUACAAAUCGUCCAAUAAAAUAUAUCUCACCACGCGUGCAGCUACUCUCCUCGCGAGAGAUAGAACGAAACAUCAAUAUCCGACCAUUAUCCCCGAAACUCUCAUAAGAUAUCCGUGCGCUCGAGAUCGAAUCUCCGCCUCCUCCCCCAAGGGACACGAUAUAUCCCUCGCAGACGCAUAGAAAGUGGGCGGAAGUGUCGCGAACGUGCGAUUGCAGAUCCUGAAGGACCUGUUGCUCGAACCGGUGCGGAGAGAACGUGCUCGCCUCGCAGUUAGAAACAAAUGGCCUGGUGCACAACAGGGAACGCCAUAAAGCCGCGUGGGCGGGGGUCGAGGUGGAAAGGAGAUCGGGAAGGUCAAAGGGAAGAGAAAAUGGGCGGGGGUGGAAUCGCAGGGGUCGUGGACGCGGAGUAUAUCUACCCCUUUGUUAAUUCGGGCUUAAUGCUGGCCCGGAGGGGGCUCGAAGGAAGGAAAGGCGUGUUUUGUCGGCAGACAAUGGGGUCACUAGGAUGUUCCGUGCCAAGUUUUCAUAGCCGGACAAGUUUAGACCGACGGUGUACCGCAACCGCGGCCUUCAACUCGUGCUCCUUAUUCGACUGGACGUGCACGAGGAAAGAGAGAAAAGAGAAGAGAGAGAGAGGGAGUAAAGUAAGGGAACAAGAUAGCCGGAACGAGAUCGAGCAGAUAGGAUUGUAAGACUUCGAACGCACACCUUGAUAUCCGCGAGAAGUGGUAGUGCUUUAGCAGAAACCCGCUCGUACAUUAUGGAUGCGGCAUCGAGCGUGUUUUACGUAAUCGGCGCGUGCCACCUGUGCACGCGGUUAAUCCCGCAUAGAAUGCGGACGUAAUCGUAUAUGCGUGGAAAAAGGAAGGUCGAAAAGAAGUGUGACGGUAUCUUUUAAACGGAUAAAACGACGUUUCGUAAUGUUUACGCGUGAUCAAAGCGUUCUUGACCCAAGGCCAUUAAAUUUCUUUGGAAAUCUUGAGAAAUCGAGAUAGGUAACCGCGUUUGAACUCAUCUGACUCAUCGUCGGGGAUCGAACAAUGAAACGAUCCGACGAAUAUUUUGACGACAUUCGAGAGUAUUUUUAUAUCCUGGCUCCUUUUCUAGAUCUUGAGAUUUUGAUUUUUUUCAAAUAAUACACACCUGCGUUAUUUUUACGCGUUUGCACAAUUUAAAAAAUAUACACGUAACAAAUGGAAUCAAAUAUAUGAUUCCAACAAAAGAAUAAUCAAUCCCUGUGACGUACUCUCGCGAGACAGGAUAAUAUCCUCGAGAAGUAAAUGUAUUCAACCCUAGGUCGGAAUCCUAUGAAUCAAACUGUGAAUAUCAAACAACGCGGACUCGUUUUCACUCGAAAGCCGGAAUCGUCGGAACUCGCGUCACGGACGAUUCGCACGUAUGUAUUGACUAGGAAAUCCGACGUAGCACGAGGAGGAGUAGUCGGAGGCGAGGGAUGAGAGCCAGUAAACCGGGACUCGACCUCGCUCCGCAUCUAUCCCGCAUACAUCGAACCGAAUGGUGCAUGGCUGUGCAUGCACCGGGUGCAAUAUACAUCGAGCAAGAGAACACACUAGAACCGGGGAGGGAGGGAGAAAGAGAGAGAGGAAACGAUAACGUAGAAGGAAGAGGAGGGUUGGGGGGGCGGAGGAGCAGGAGGAGGCCCUCCAACCCCGUUUUCACUUUCAUUCGCUCGCUAGCUCGCGUGGCACAUAUUCACAUAUUCAUCUCUACACCCUUCCUUCAUCCCCUUGGUGGAUAUACACGGAUAUGUUCGCGUCACGGGGGCAGUGUGCGCUGGUAUACGUGUGUACGUGUGAAACGCACACCGAGGAGCAACGUGACGGUAUUUCACGUGGAUGCAAGAGGCUCAGCUGUGCCGUGACGUAUGAUCCCCGACGUUGGCCCUAGCGAAACUUAUUCGGCCACGUGCUUUCGAAACUUCGGCCGCGCGCACCAUGUGCGUACGACCUCAGGCCCGGUUCCCACGCGAUCCCGCUCUGUCUCUCUCUCUCUCUCUCUCUCCCCCGUCACGAAAUCGGGAUAUACCGUUGACCUUGGGGUUAUUCCUGGCCCACGAUUUACGAUUUGCCAGACUACUGCUCGAGCUUGAAAUAGAUUGCAGGAUAACGGUUUCUGACGAUUCUGAAGGGGGAUUGAUUUGAAUUUGUGCGUAUGUAACGUAGAGCAGUAUUAAGUGGAAAAUGAAAUACAAAGUAUCGAGUUCAAAUUUAAUAUAUAUUUAAAUUGAAUCAAAGGAUAUGUUUUAUAUCCGCAAAAUAUUUGCGAAUUUCGAAAGCCUACUGUGCACUUUGGCUUUUUUUUAAAUGUAUAGUUGCUAUGAAGUAUUGCACGAAGAUCGAGUUCGUAAAUAGUAUUGAUUGUGUAUACAUAGAUAUAUCAUGGGCGUUUUUAUGAUAAGUUGUUAAACUAGUAUUAAAAUAGUAUCAAGUAAUGAUAUUGCUUUGAAUAAAUAGAUAUGCAUU
Apis cerana (Asiatic honeybee) is the source of this 5468-nucleotide long non-coding RNA. RefSeq lists it as uncharacterized. NCBI's taxonomy places the organism in Eukaryota, Metazoa, Arthropoda, Insecta, Hymenoptera, Apidae. The record is from RefSeq and is a predicted model, not a curated record.